CCCUUAGAUGUUCUGGGCCGCACGCGCGCUACACUGAAUGGAUCAACGUGUUUUCCCUUCCCGAGAGGGACGGGUAACCCGCUGAACCCCAUUCGUGGUAGGGAUCGGAGCUUGCAAUUGUUCUCCGUGAACCAGGAAUUCCCAGUAAGCGCAAGUCAUAAGCUUGCGUUGAUUACGUCCCUGCCCUUUGUACACACCGCCCGUCGCUACUACCGAUUGAACGUUUUAGUGAGGUAUUUGGACUGGACCUUCGGAGGUUCACGCCUCCGUUGCUGUUCGGGAAGACUCCCAAACUUGAGCGUUUAGAGGAAGUAAAAGUCGUAACA
RNAcentral lists this ribosomal RNA (326 nucleotides) under uncultured eukaryote. Its description in RNAcentral is "partial 18S ribosomal RNA". It matches the Rfam family "Eukaryotic small subunit ribosomal RNA", at positions 1470 to 1796 of the family's 1831-position model. The record is from RNAcentral.